GAAUGUGAGGGUGAUCGGGCUGCAACAUCUGUCACCCCAUUGACUGCAAAGGUUGAUUCAGCUGAUCUGGCUGGCUAGGCGGGUAUCCCCUUCCUGCCUCACUACUCCAUGUGCAUCCUUCCCCAAACUGCAUGCUUGGUUGAAGAGUAUGACCUUCCCUGAUAAAGGAAGACAGUUCUUUGGUCAAGGAUAUACAAGUAGCUGUGCUCCCCAGCUUGAACUUCCAAACAAGCUCUCAAGGUCCAUUUAUAGAAGAAUGUAGGAUAGUCAAGCUUCCAAGACUCCUUACACAUCCAAACGGGGUGCUGCAUUUGGCAGUCUGCCUUUCUUU
This 331-nucleotide small nuclear RNA is filed under the name Vulpes vulpes (red fox). Its description in RNAcentral is "7SK RNA (ENSVVUG00000013769.1)". It matches the Rfam family "7SK RNA". From Rfam's summary of the family: 7SK was discovered as an abundant small nuclear RNA in the mid-70s but a possible function has only recently been suggested. Two independent studies have found that 7SK RNA binds the CDK9/cyclin T complex (known as elongation factor P-TEFb). The record is from Rfam by way of RNAcentral. Lineage: Eukaryota; Metazoa; Chordata; Mammalia; Carnivora; Canidae.